UGACCCAGACGUCUCAUUCUCGGCGACCGGGGCUGGACAGUCUCGAGGCCUGGAUGUGGAGCUCCAACUGCUUGCGACCCGUGGUGCGCGACAUCGGCCACGGCUCCCCGGGGCUGACGACUCACGGCCUGGGGAAGCAGAGAGUGGCCGAUCACCACCGAGGCCGCGACUCUAUACUAGAAUUACCAAGCGCGCUCCAUUGCGGAAGCGCAGGACCUACGUAGGGGGCUGAAGGGAAAAGGCCCCGCUAGGGCGCGAACUGGACCGGGAGUCAGCGCUCGCCCGGCCUCAGGGGCGUUCCAGGCCAAGGUAACCGAAGAUUAAAGCCACAAGACCGUUCUGUAAAAUGCUGGGUGGCUAGAAGAAGCUGGAAUUCGGUGGUCUGGAGUGUUCUGCUAGAGAAGGGAUCAUAAGGUCACAACAAUGUGAUCUACUUAUGACCCGAAAGAAAAAAAAAAGGUGUACUUUUAAAGCAAACUUGAGGCAUCCAUUGCCUGUCUGCACGUGGUGCUCUUCCCUUCACCGAUAAUUAUGAAUCUCCUAGUUGACUGCCCUCAAAUCCCCUCCCUCCAGACAAAAUUCUACCUACCCUGGUGGGUAUUUACUGCAAGCAGCGGAGGUACUGCUGGGACCUAAAGCAGAAAGGAGAAUGCCCAGAAGUAAUGACAGAGGCUUCUUCCUGCUGGGGCUGACUUAGAAAGCCCAAGAACCAGAACUUAAUUCUGUGGACCGUUGAAAGUCAUCCCAAAGAUCUGUGUUUUAGAAAUUAUAGGCUCAAUACUUGGAUAGAUAAAAAAAACAAAACAAAACAAAAAACAGUUAGGAGGCCCUUUUUAUAGGAGGUAGAGACUAAUGAGAGCCUGAACUACAGCAGUGGGGAAGGAAGAAAGCUGUAGGUCCAGGAAAUAGGUAAUCCAGAAAAGUGGCUUGAGGAGUGGUCAGUCAGAAUUCUACAGAUAGUUAUUAAGUCAGACUCCAAUUUUCCUUGUUCAUCACUAUAUUAUUACAGCAUAGUUGAGUGCUGCCAAGUCACACACAAAAUUGUCUCUACAAUCUUUGGGUUCCAAAACUUGAAACAAAUUCCAUCCAGGCCCUGAAAAUGAACAGUACCUUAGGAAUUUGUGGGGCAAUAUUAAAAGUUCUAACAUACAGCAAGUUGAAUCCUCACUGCAAAAGGAAAUAAAAACCAUGCUAUGGUUUGCCAUCACUUGGCUAGUCUCAAUCUAGACCAGCCCAACAAGGAUGCUGUGAGUGGAGUAUAAAUGGCUGGACAGUGAUCCCCUCAACUGGGGAUGGGGCAGCUAGUGAAGAACUCUUUCCAUAUGUGCUGUGAUGCAAGAAGUUUUUCAAAGCAUUCCCUACACUGGGGCUUUUACAUAGCACCCCUUAUUUUAGCCUUCUUUAUUUGUUUUUAUCCCCUGUAGAUCUCAUAUGAAUGAGUAUCCUUACUUCCUAAGCCAGGACUCUGCACAUAGUCUGUAGCAAGUCAUUGUUGAAUGAAUGAGGAAGGAUUUAUGUUAAUUUUUGAAGUCAGAAUUUUGAUACAUAGAGGAAAAGAGCAGUCCAUGGAGAAGGGUGAUAGUCUAGAAGGAAAACAUGUUUUCUCUAGGAUCUUCCUGGGACGCAGCAGACCUUUGAUGAAUAUGUUUUGGAUGAAUAAACUUAAGUGAAGAUCGCUGAAGAAUCUGGAAGGAUUCCAGGAAACUGCCCUAUUUGGUUGGAACGAAUAAUGCAUGAAGAGAAAUACUGACAAAAAUAAUCUUAGAAAGUAGGUUGAAGCUGAGUCAAUAAGGGAAGUGGAAAACUAUAAAAUGAGAUACUAUGUACCAGACAUAUGUUAUAUUAUUUUUUUUCACAAUGGGGUGAAAUUGAGUAUAAUCUACAUUUUACAGAUGGGGAAACUAGCUCUCAGAAUUAAAAUAAUUUGACCAUAGACCUCAAAUUACCGUAGAUAGUUGUCAGAACCAGUACUUGGACCCAGGUCUUUUGCUCCAAAAUCAGUUUUCUUAUAUGUUUAUGGUACUUCUUUAAAAGCUGGACUGCAUGUUGCAUUGAAAUUUUACUCUUGACUCCAUGGGAAAACAAAAAUUUUUAAAUUUACUUAUAUACAUCUUUAUUUUUAUAUGGUGCUGAGGAUCGAACCCAGUGUCUCAGAUAUGCUAGGUAAGUGCUCUACCUCUGAGCCACAACCCUAGCCCUAAAACAAAUUUCCUUAGUGAAGGAGCAACAAGGCCAGAACUAAGAUAAAUCUGCUAGCAUAUAUACAGUAUAUAUUGAGUGGGGAAAGCCUAAUUUGGUAAUGAUUAUCUCUGAGCCUAGUGGCAAAGAAAUUUCUAAACAACCUGAACAUCCCCGUGUGCUAUGGAUUCAGAAUUCACUUGGGAUUGAUAGCUUCAUUUCUGUCACAAUGGCCAACUAUAUCAACAAGACUUUAAACUUUAUUAAAUUAAUUUUAAGUAGAGA
Non-coding RNA from Ictidomys tridecemlineatus (thirteen-lined ground squirrel), 2463 nucleotides. The record is from RefSeq and is a predicted model, not a curated record. Lineage: Eukaryota; Metazoa; Chordata; Mammalia; Rodentia; Sciuridae.